AUGCAGUCGUCGUCGCUGCAUCCGCCGCCGGCGGCGGCCACUCCGCGGGGUCGAAAGGGGCGGCCCAGGAGAGACCGGACGUGGCACAUCACGGUGUUCAACUACAUGCCGCUGCCGUGGGAUCAGAGGGACUGGGCGGAGCUUCCCCAGGACGCGAUCUCCUGCAUCUUCCGCAAGAUGAACCAGUUCGAGCUCCUGCUCGGCGCCGCGGCGGUGUGCCGCUCCUGGCGCCGCGCCGCGUGGCACGAGCCCGAGCUGUGGCGCUGCAUCGACAUGCGCUAUCUGCUUGAAGACGUCCCGCCCUCCGGCUGGCAGGCCACCCGCAGCAGCCUUGUGCGGGCCGCCCUGCGGCUCAGCGCCGGGCAGUGCGAGACCUUCGUCGCCGAGCUCCUCGACGACGACCUCUUCAUCUUCCUCUCCGAGCAGGCACCCUUACUAAAAAAUCUCUAUCUCAUCAAGUGUUACUACGUCUCAAAGGAAGUAUUUGCAAAGGUUAUGUACAAGUUCCCUCUCCUUGAAGAACUCGAGCUUUUGAUGUGGUUAGGUGGCACGGAAAUGCUCGAGAUCGUCGCUGAAGCCUGCCCAUGCCUGAAGCACUUCAGUCUCAUAAAACAAGAUCGUUUUUACGAACUUGAGGACGAUGGUAAUGCUUUCGCGAUUGCGAAGAUGCACGGGCUACGUUCCUUGUAUCUCGACGGCAACAGACUCACCAACAAAGGGCUGACAGUGAUCCUUGAUGGCUGCCCCCACCUAGAGCACCUUAACGUUUUUGAAUGUAAGUAUCUCAGGAUGGAUGAUGACCUGCUAGAGAAAUGUUCUCGAGUCAACAUGGAUGGCCCUCGGUACUCUUUGCCAUAUUUGCCUUGCAGUUGCUGUUGGAGUCCUGACUAUUCGGAUCAUGAGGAUUAUGAGGAUUACCAUGAGGCUUGUUACUACUACCUCGGUGACCACUUUGACGACGAUGAUAUAGCAGAACACGAGAAGAUACUUGAUAUCAAGAACAUGCGGAGGUACUUGCCCUAG
This 1023-nucleotide ribosomal RNA is filed under the name Triticum aestivum (bread wheat). RNAcentral's name for it is "partial small subunit ribosomal RNA". Lineage: Eukaryota; Viridiplantae; Streptophyta; Magnoliopsida; Poales; Poaceae. The record is from RNAcentral.